AACGAACGCUGGCGGCAUGCCUAACACAUGCAAGUCGAACGGUGUUCCCGCUUCGGCGGGGGCAUAGUGGCGCACGGGUGAGUAACGCGUGGGAACCUGCCCCGUGGUACGGAACAACUCCGGGAAACCGGAGCUAAUACCGUAUGUGUCCCCUGGGACAAAGAUUGCAUCGCCAUGGGAGGGGCCCGCGUAGAAUUGGGUAGUUGGAGGGGUAACGGCCCACCAAGCCCCGGAUCCUUAGCUGGUCUCGGAGGAUGAUCAGCCACCCGGGGACUGAGACACGGCCCAGACUCCUACGGGAGGCAGCAGUGGGGAAUAUUGGACAAUGGGCGCAAGCCUGAUCCAGCAAUGCCGAGUGUGUGAUGAAGGCCUUCGGGUUGUAAAGCUCUUUCGCACGCGACGAUGAUGACGGUAGCGUGAGAAGAAGCCCCGGCUAACUUCGUGCCAGCAGCCGCCGUAA
RNAcentral lists this ribosomal RNA (460 nucleotides) under uncultured bacterium. RNAcentral describes it as "partial 16S ribosomal RNA". It matches the Rfam family "Bacterial small subunit ribosomal RNA", at positions 28 to 523 of the family's 1533-position model. The record is from RNAcentral.